Molecule: ribosomal RNA, 478 nt
Filed under: uncultured bacterium
Lineage: Bacteria
Description: partial 16S ribosomal RNA
Rfam family: Bacterial small subunit ribosomal RNA
Source: RNAcentral
GACGAACGCUGGCGGCGUGCUUAACACAUGCAAGUCGAACGGUAAGGCCCUUCGGGGUACACGAGUGGCGAACGGGUGAGUAACACGUGGGUGAUCUGCCCUGCACUUCGGGAUAAGCCUGGGAAACUGGGUCUAAUACCGGGUAGGACCUCUGCCUGCAUGGGUGGUGGUGGAAAGCUUUUGCGGUGUGGGAUGGGCCCGCGGCCUAUCAGCUUGUUGGUGGGGUGAUGGCCUACCAAGGCGACGACGGGUAGCCGGCCUGAGAGGGUGACCGGGCACACUGGGACUGAGAUACGGCACAGACUCCUACGGGAGGCAGAAGUGGGGAAUAUUGCACAAUGGGCGCAAGCCUGAUGCAGCGACGCCGCGUGAGGGAUGACGGCCUUCGGGUUGUAAACCUCUUUCAGCACCGACGAAGCGCAAGUGACGGUAGGUGCAGAAGAAGGACCGGCCAACUACGUGCCAGCCGCCGCCGUAA